RNAcentral lists this transfer RNA (73 nucleotides) under Deltaproteobacteria bacterium GWA2_45_12. RNAcentral describes it as "tRNA-Gly". It matches the Rfam family "tRNA". Rfam says of the family: Transfer RNA (tRNA) molecules are approximately 80 nucleotides in length. The record is from RNAcentral. Lineage: Bacteria; Deltaproteobacteria. RNAcentral also lists the same sequence under 13 other names.
GCGGGAGUAGCUCAGUUGGUAGAGCAUCAGCUUCCCAAGCUGAGGGUCGCGGGUUCGAGCCCCGUCUCCCGCU